GACGAACGCUGGCGGCGUGCUUAACACAUGCAAGUCGAACGAAGUGGCGAACGGGUGAGUAACGCGUAAUCAACCUGCCCUUCAGAGGGGGACAACAGUUGGAAACGACUGCUAAUACCGCAUACUGAAGGUGGGGCUUGCGUCUGAUUAGCUAGUUGGAGGGGUAACGGCCCACCAAGGCGAUGAUCAGUAACAGGUCUGAGAGGAUGAACGGCAAAAUUGGGACGUAGAACAGGCCCAGACUCCUACGGGAGGCAGCAGUGGGGAAUCUUCCGCAAUGGACGAAAGUCUGAAGGAGCAAAGCCGCGUGAGUGAUGACGGCCUUCGGGCUGUAAAGCUCUGUUAAUCGGGACGCGGUACCGGAAUAGAAAGCCACGGCUAACGACGUGCCAGCAGCCGCGGUAAUAC
RNAcentral lists this ribosomal RNA (408 nucleotides) under uncultured bacterium. RNAcentral describes it as "partial 16S ribosomal RNA". It matches the Rfam family "Bacterial small subunit ribosomal RNA", at positions 28 to 526 of the family's 1533-position model. The record is from RNAcentral.